CUCCUAUGCAGAGGACCCCAGCAAGUUUAUUGACUUAGGCAGUGGUCAUAAUUACCAUUUUUGAACAGAUUUUUCCUGAAGGGAAUGAGGAAAAAAAGGGGACAUUGUAUUUUUUUUUUUCCCUAAAUUCUCUUGACUUUGGACAUCUCAUGGCUAUUUUUUCCCCUUUAUUUAUGGAGUAAGAUAGGUGUUUGACUGUUGUUCCUUGGUACCGUACUUCACAAAGUACAGUGCCUGAUUUAUCCUUCCCUUGAAGAGUUUCUAGUCUUAAAUCAAAGUGAAGGAUUGUUGUUAAUGACUCAUUUUAGCCAACAGGAUAUAUAAGAUGCUUUCUGGAGCUUGGAGGAAACUGGCCUUGCUCUGAAGUGCUUACAUGGAAGGUUUUGAACAACAGGAAGAAAAAGUGAACCCUGCGAUAAUUGUUUAGGAUUGAGAAGAUGAUAUGAUCAUGCUAAGAAGAGUAAUGCAUGUACCUUGUUACAAAGUUACAAAGGAAGGAGCUGUACAGAUGAUGUGCUGCGUUACAGCUUCGGUGGGGUGCUCUACGCAGUGCAAGCUGAAGAAGACCUGUCUCACUUGGCCCAGCUGAAUUCGUAGCCCCAUGAAUGCCAGAUCAGAACUGUCAUGGAAGCCAGAAGUCUUGUUAUUCUUUUAAAAACAUUCUUAUUAAAUUACUUCCUUGGUACAUAGCAAGUAUUUAACUGCUGAGAGAUGGUAUGCCUGAAAACUGGACUGUAGAUCAUCUUGUGAUUCCAUAAGUGUGGAUUAGCAGUCCGAAAAAGUGUGAAACCAUUCCAAAGAGGCUAAGCAAUUUUGAUGUUUAUGUGACUGAAUUUGGGACUAAUGGUAUCAGAGGAGAUGGAGAAGAGAAAAACUCAAGUCUUUCAGACAAUAUGAGAGAUCUGGAGAAUGUAUUACAGCAAACUGUAACUGGUUAAAGAAAUGGAAACAUUGGGCAACGAAAGUAUUUUCUAGUUUAAAGAUAUUCAGAUCUAUUCUAGAUCAAAUUUUGGUGCUUCCAAGUAAUUUGUAGGUAACAGCCCUUUCUGGUGGGUCCAGGCAGUUAGUCUGGGUGGCGUGAGGCCCUUUCAAACUCUGGCAUGCUUUAGCAGACUAUAUCAGCGUCAGAGCCCUGGUUCAUCGUGCUUUCUCUGAUCGUCACCAGACCUAGAGCAUCUCUGAGGAUUUGGUAAGUGCCUGAGAGAUUCCUUCUGAGAAGAACAUGUAGGUGAGGAUUUGUUUUGUUUGGCACCGCAGCUGAUGUCUGAAGAACAUUUUUACUCUUUAAUUCAUAGUUUUCCUGAAAAUGUCUUGCAGGGGGUCCACUGGCACAAUGCUAGAUGGGCUGGCAGCAAUCAAAAAAAGACUGAUCAGAAAAGUCAAAAUUGACAGGUUUUUAAGAAGUCGUUUUUUAAUGUUGAAUUUUAAAUCUAUUUUAAUAAAAAUU
RNAcentral lists this long non-coding RNA (1447 nucleotides) under Dromaius novaehollandiae (emu). RNAcentral describes it as "lncRNA (ENSDNVG00000003573.1)". The record is from RNAcentral. Lineage: Eukaryota; Metazoa; Chordata; Aves; Casuariiformes; Dromaiidae.